AGUCUUAUAUUCAAUAAUGAUUUUAAAUUGCAAAUUUAAAGGAGAAAGUAUUUCUAAGGCUU
This 62-nucleotide transfer RNA is filed under the name Aphthona lutescens. RNAcentral's name for it is "tRNA-Cys". Lineage: Eukaryota; Metazoa; Arthropoda; Insecta; Coleoptera; Chrysomelidae. The record is from RNAcentral.